Triticum aestivum (bread wheat) is the source of this 514-nucleotide long non-coding RNA. RefSeq lists it as uncharacterized. The transcript is spliced from 2 exons. The record is from RefSeq and is a predicted model, not a curated record. NCBI's taxonomy places the organism in Eukaryota, Viridiplantae, Streptophyta, Magnoliopsida, Poales, Poaceae.
CACCUACCGCCGUUCCCCAAGCCGCCGACGAGCACCAGGCAGUCGACGCCAUGGACGGCUGCUGAGCUUCGCGCCACCCGACGUCAACCGCAUCGCCGCCCCAAGGGAUCCGUGCGCGUGGCCGCGCCGCCGGUGUGUGCGGCCGCAGCAACAGGUUCGGCAAGGACUCUCGGCCCUGCCGCUUCAUUGCUCCUGCCCAAGCCGGCCUCCGCUUUCUGACCCCGCCACCGGCGAGCUGCCAUGCCCGUCCUCGUCGCACUGGUGCUAUCCUCUAGUAUGCUUGCUGGCUGCGACCAGAGCCCUGUACAUAUUUGGUUGUUGCUUUCUUGAUGGGUUUUAAGUGGAUCUUAAUUUGAUGUAUCCUGGCACUUGUCCAUGUGUAAAUCUGAUGUGCAGAACACUUAGAAGUUGCUACUCGUAGGAUAUUCUUGCUCGUAUGUGUACACGUGAAGAAUGGCUAGCUCGUAGAUCCGUUUUCUUUUUGUUAAAGAAAUAUACAUUAAUUUUUAUUUAA